This 115-nucleotide ribosomal RNA is filed under the name Alphaproteobacteria bacterium. The record is from RNAcentral. Lineage: Bacteria; Pseudomonadati; Pseudomonadota; Alphaproteobacteria.
CCUGGUGAUCAUAGCGAAGGGCCAACACCCGAUCCCAUCCCGAACUCGACCGUGAAAACCUUCAGCGCCUAUGGUACUACGUCUUAAGACGUGGGAGAGUCGGACGUUGCCAGGC